UACGUAGGGUGCAAGCGUUAUCCGGAAUUAUUGGGCGUAAAGAGCUCGUAGGCGGUUUGUCGCGUCUGCUGUGAAAUCUGGGGGCUCAACCCCCAGCCUGCAGUGGGUACGGGCAGACUAGAGUGCGGUAGGGGAGAUUGGAAUUCCUGGUGUAGCGGUGGAAUGCGCAGAUAUCAGGAGGAACACCAAUGGCGAAGGCAGAUCUCUGGGCCGUAACUGACGCUGAGGAGCGAAAGCAUGGGGAGCGAACAGG
Molecule: ribosomal RNA, 253 nt
Filed under: uncultured bacterium
Lineage: Bacteria
Description: partial 16S ribosomal RNA
Rfam family: Bacterial small subunit ribosomal RNA
Source: RNAcentral